RNAcentral lists this ribosomal RNA (425 nucleotides) under uncultured bacterium. RNAcentral's name for it is "bacterial SSU rRNA". It matches the Rfam family "Bacterial small subunit ribosomal RNA", at positions 355 to 773 of the family's 1533-position model. The record is from RNAcentral.
UCGAGAAUUUUUCACAAUGGGCGAAAGCCUGAUGGAGCGACGCCGCGUGGGGGAUGAAUGGCUUCGGCCCGUAAACCCCUGUCCUUUGCGAACAAGCCUUUCGGCUUAAUACGUCGAGAGCUGAUUGUAGCGGAAGAGGAAGGGACGGCUAACUCUGUGCCAGCAGCCGCGGUAAUACAGAGGUCCCAAGCGGUGUUCGGAUUCACUGGGCGUAAAGGGUGCGUAGGCGGUUGGAUAAGUCUGAUGUGAAAUCUUCGAGCUCAACUCGGAAACUGCAUCGGAAACUAUCCGGCUAGAGGAUUGGAGGGGAGACUGGAAUUCUCGGUGUAGCAGUGAAAUGCGUAGAUAUCGAGAGGAACACCAGUGGCGAAGGCGAGUCUCUGGACAAUUCCUGACGCUGAGGCACGAAAGCUAGGGGAGCAAAC